CUUAGCUCAGCUGGGAGAGCGCCUGCCUUGCACGCAGGAGGUCAGCGGUUCGAUCCCGCUAG
Molecule: transfer RNA, 62 nt
Filed under: Halalkalibacterium ligniniphilum
Lineage: Bacteria; Bacillati; Bacillota; Bacilli; Caryophanales; Bacillaceae
Also listed under: 1 other name
Rfam family: tRNA
About the family: Transfer RNA (tRNA) molecules are approximately 80 nucleotides in length. Their secondary structure includes four short double-helical elements and three loops (D, anti-codon, and T loops).
Source: RNAcentral